This 505-nucleotide ribosomal RNA is filed under the name uncultured bacterium. Its description in RNAcentral is "bacterial SSU rRNA". It matches the Rfam family "Bacterial small subunit ribosomal RNA", at positions 18 to 518 of the family's 1533-position model. The record is from RNAcentral.
UAUGGCUCAGGAUGAACGCUGGCGGCGUGCCUAACACAUGCAAGUCGAACGAAGCACUUCUGAUCGGAGAUUCGUCGAAGAUUGGAUUGACUUAGUGGCGGACGGGUGAGUAAUGUAUGAGCAACCUGCCUUUCAGAGGGGGACAACAGUUGGAAACGACUGCUAAUACCGCAUAAUGUAUAUAGAGGGCAUCCUCGGUAUACCAAAGGAGCAAUCCGCUGAAAGAUGGGCUCAUAUCUGAUUAGUUAGUUGGCAGGGUAAUGGCCUACCAAGACUGCGAUCAGUAGCCGGACUGAGAGGUUGAACGGCCACAUUGGGACUGAGAUACGGCCCAGACUCCUACGGGAGGCAGCAGUGGGGAAUAUUGGGCAAUGGGCGAAAGCCUCGACCCAGCAACGCCGCGUGAAGGAAGAAGGUCUUCGGAUUGUAAACUUCUUUUAUGAGGGACGAAGGACGUGACGGUACCUCAUGAAUAAGCCACGGCUAACUACGUGCCAGCCGCGGC